GGCGCGGCAUGGCGGCGGGGCCGGUGGAUUGCCACUGCCACCUCGCCGCGCCCUGCUUCCAGGCGGUGAGGCGCGGAGGGGCGGGCGGCGGCGCGGCCCCGGGGCUGGCGCUGAGGCGGUGCGUGUCUCUUGCAGGACGUGGCGGACGUGGUGCGGGCGGCGCAGCAGGCGGCCGUGUCGGCGCUCGUCGUGGUGUCGGAGCAGGCGGCGGAGUUCCCGAGCGUCCUGGCGCUGUCGGAGAGGUGCGAGGCGGGAGGGGAGGCCGGGAGCUCAUCCCGGAGUCCCCCCUCCCGUGUCCUAGAACCCUUUCUACUGUAUCCUGGAGCACCACCACCACGUCCAAUGGUUGCUGAUGGGGACUCGCUGCCCUCUUGGUCAGGCCAGCGGUUCCUUUUGGCUUUAAACCUGCUUUCUGUGCAGUCUCUCAUGGUGCUGAUGCGCGUUCCAUGCCUAGAUUCCAAGGGUUUGUUUUACCGUGCCUGGGAGUUCACCCGGUUCAAGAGGUUUCACCAGAGGAGCAGCGCAGCGUUACUCUGAAGGAUCUGGAUGCUGCAUUGCCGCUUAUAGAACUCUACAAAGAUAAACUGGUGGGGAUUGGGGAAGUUGGACUAGAUUUCACUCCCAGAUUUGCCAGCACGGAUGAAGAGAAGGAAGGACAAAGACAGGUUUUGAUCAAGCAGAUUGAGAUAGCGAGAAGACUGGAUUUGCCUUUGUAGGUGUUUGUACUAGUAUGAGAAUUUGCCAAAUCUCAGUAACACGAGGAAAUAUUUCCCAGGAUUUAUAAUCAUGAAGAGCCCCAGAACUUUUCUUACAUGGAUUAAACUGGUGUUACUGUCCUGACAGCCUCCAGUUUGAGAUUCAAUCAUAGAAUUUUCCCUGUGUUUGCACUUAAAUACAGUCAUCUUCUUUGUCCUGUCCUUGCUAUGUUGUUGCUGUAUCUUCACUGUAGCUAAAACGAUUCAUAUUUAUGUCUCUAGAUUUUUCUCCUGAUAAAGGUGUACUACAGAUCAGUUUUUUCAUCCCAAGCUGCUGCUGUUCAUUUGUGCUUAGUCCAAAAAACAAAAGUAUUUUGCUGAGUUUCCUCAUGCCUCAUCCUCUUGCUGUGCAGAAAUGUUCAUUCCCGCUCAGCUGGAAGACCAACCAUUAGCCUCUUAAAGGAACAAGGUGCUUCCAAGGUGUUGCUCCAUGCCUUUGAUGGGAAGCCAUCUGUAGCAAUGGAAGGGGUGAAAGCUGGAUACUUCUUCUCCAUUCCUCCUUCCAUUAUAAGGAGUGAACAGAAGCAGAAGCUUGUGAAACUGUUACCACUGGAAAGUAUGUGCUUGGAAACUGACUCUCCUGCUCUGGGGCCUGAAAAACAGGUGAGAAAUGAACCAAAAAAUAUUUACAUUGCUGCAGAAUACAUUGCCAAAAUUAAAGGAAUUCCAGUUGAAGAAGUUAUAGAAGUGACUACACAGAAUGCACUGAAAGUAUUCCCCAAACUUCGGAACUUUCUUCAGAUAUAGAUCGAGAAACUGAAAUAUAGGAUAUCGCAGAAACUGUUAUUUAUGGUGUAAUUAAUAAACCCAAUGUGCAUCUUGUUUUGAAGUGGAGUUUCGCUGUUGGAAAGUCCAAGGAGCGAUCAGAGUGUUCUAAAGCUGCAUAGGAUGAAUACAGGGAAAUUCUCAAAGACCUUUUGUAUGCACCAUUGUCAUCUCUUGGAUGUGAUAAAGGCAGGUCCUUCAGUUGCAUCUCUCAUGUUUCUGACUGAAUAAUUUGUGAAGAAGAGCACCACAGAAUUGUCAGGAUAGUUUCCUUGCUCAGCUGCUCCUAGGCUGGGAGAUGGCUGAUGGCUGAUGUCCCUUUAAUGUCCCUUUCAUUCCUUAAUUGCUGCUGACUGAAAGUCACACAGUCGUGGGCCCACUUGCGAUACAAAAGCACUCGUUAGGACCUGCAGAUCUCUUUCUGAGCCAUUAAAACCCCAGCUGGGUGGGCAUGCUCUGGUUGUGUUGAGUGGGCUCUGUGAGUGGUGAAGUAACCCCUCUGCUUUCCUUCAAAAUCCAGUUGCAAGGGAAGAACUACAGCUAUUUGGAGAAGGAUUUGCUUUGGGGUUUUUAACAUUUCAUUUUUCGAAUCAUAUUCGAAGGAAAAAGCCUGGGUUUGGUUUUAUUUCAAGGACUUCCUUUUCUGACUGCUCAGUGUCAGACAGGGACGUGAAAAGGAGACAAGCCCCAUUUUGGGAGAUCUUGGAGAUACCUGUCUGCUGUGGAUUCUGCUACGUUGGCCAGUGUCCUAAAACCUGAAUCCUGUGCUCCCUUACAGCCCCUUUGUGGAUGUGGGCCAGUUGAAACACUGAUCAAAGUUUUGCUGACUAUAAACCAGCAAUGGGUGAGGGCUCGUGUGGAGCAAGGCUGAAGUGAUGGCCAAGUGACUUGGAAGAGUGGAGCGGGUUCAGUAGAACUAAAAAGUUCACGGUAAGUCACUUGAACUCCUCACAUUUUGGAAAUCCCCUCUGAGCUCAGGACCAACAGCAAGAGUGUCUAAGGGCUCUAUUUGUGCUCACUUAAAUCAGUCUCCCCAGAGCCUUCUUCCGAAACUUGGACUAAGAGUGCCUGAAUCUGCUGAACUCUGGAACAAACUGCCAUGAGCUUUCCCAGAUUUCGACAUAGGAACAAGUGAGGAGAUGGUGAUGAGGCCAAGUGGGUGAUACGCUGUUUAAUCCUGUUGUUUACUGUGAUAAGAGUUUAAACAAAUUGACCAAAGACUUUUACUGGAGGUGCUUCCAGCAGGCUCCUAUGCAAUGCAUAGAUAGGCUCUUUAGAGGCAAAAGCAAAUAAAUACUUGGCUGGAAAUGCAACUUUCAUCACUGAUGAACUUCUGAAUUUGUUUGUUUUUUCAUUAAUGCAGGCCUGGGGUUCGAUCCUCUGUUCCCAUCACAGAA
This is an RNA transcript of Strigops habroptila (Kakapo), 2917 nucleotides long. It is a transcript of the gene named TatD DNase domain containing 3, with no coding region annotated. Lineage: Eukaryota; Metazoa; Chordata; Aves; Psittaciformes; Psittacidae. The record is from RefSeq and is a predicted model, not a curated record. The transcript is spliced from 8 exons.